This 434-nucleotide long non-coding RNA is filed under the name Rattus norvegicus (Norway rat). RNAcentral's name for it is "long non-coding RNA NONRATT008846". Lineage: Eukaryota; Metazoa; Chordata; Mammalia; Rodentia; Muridae. The record is from RNAcentral.
CACUGCCGCCGGCGCCGCUCCUCCUCCGUGUCAGUUGUUGAGCUGUAAUGGCGACUGGGCCGCCGCUGCCGAAGUGACUCCCGGGCGGGGGAGUGGGACCUGCGCCUGAGAGGACUGCGGAGAGCCGCAGCUCGGGAGGGGGCUCGCGGCGGGGCGGAGGAGGCCGCCUCUGCGCCUCUCCUUCCUUCCCUGCCGCCCGGCGAAUCCCGGGAGCCGGGGCGAGGCGGGUACCCGGUGCGUCCCCGGAGCGGGGAGGCCAGGCCGGGCAGCCCUGGGGCCGGUCGGGGCGGCGUCACUGCACCCUCCGCCAGGCCCCGCGGGAUGCACCGUGGGAGCCGAGGGCGGAGGCGACACUCUCAGGUAAAUUGGCAAGAUGAGGAGCAGCAAGUCAAAAGAGGUGCCUUUACCCAAUCCAAGGAACUCUCAAAGCAAGG